RNAcentral lists this non-coding RNA (30 nucleotides) under Rattus norvegicus (Norway rat). Lineage: Eukaryota; Metazoa; Chordata; Mammalia; Rodentia; Muridae. The record is from RNAcentral.
CUGGUGAUUUCAGGAACCGGCUAGUUCUUU